AUCCAAGUGCACGGGCGUCUUCCUUCUCCGUGAAGCGAUAAGCUGAGAGAGGAAUUUUGCUAGUUGAAAACUAAAUUCAAACCGCUCCUGUUCAAUUUAUUGGGCAGGGAAUUUUUGGAACCUAUUGUUG
Molecule: small nuclear RNA, 130 nt
Filed under: Claviceps purpurea 20.1
Lineage: Eukaryota; Fungi; Ascomycota; Sordariomycetes; Hypocreales; Clavicipitaceae
Description: U4 spliceosomal RNA
Rfam family: U4 spliceosomal RNA
About the family: U4 small nuclear RNA (U4 snRNA) is a component of the major U2-dependent spliceosome. The structure of U4 snRNA from yeast and human has been reported.
Source: Rfam by way of RNAcentral